GACGAACGCUGGCGGCGUGCUUAACACAUGCAAGUCGAACGGAAAGGCCCUGCUUUUGUGGGGUGCUCGAGUGGCGAACGGGUGAGUAACACGUGAGUAACCUGCCCUUGACUUUGGGAUAACUUCAGGAAACUGGGGCUAUUACCGGAUAGGAUCUCCUGCUCCAUGGUGGGGGUUGGAAAGUUUCGGCGGUUGGGGAUGGACUCGCGGCUUACCAGCUUGUUGGUGGGGUAGUGGCUUACCAAGGCUUUGACGGGUAGCCGGCCUGAGAGGGUGACCGGCCACAUUGGGACUGAGAUACGGCCCAGACUCCUACGGGAGGCAGCAGUGGGGAAUAUUGCACAAUGGGCGGAAGCCUGAUGCAGCAACGCCGCGUGCGGGAUGACGGCCUUCGGGUUGUAAACCGCUUUCGCCUGUGACGAAGCGUGAGUGACGGUAAUGGGUAAAGAAGCACCGGCUAACUACGUG
Molecule: ribosomal RNA, 468 nt
Filed under: uncultured bacterium
Lineage: Bacteria
Description: partial 16S ribosomal RNA
Rfam family: Bacterial small subunit ribosomal RNA
Source: RNAcentral